UGACGUGGGGCUCGAUCUCCUGAACCGAAAUUAAGAAUCAGAAGCUCAACUAACUUGAGCCACCCAGGCACCCUUGCCCAAAGGAGGGACUGCUUUGGUAAAAUCUAACACAUGUACAGAAAAAGUGCAUAAAGCACAGAUGUACAACUAAAUAUUCUAGAGUGAACACCUAUGUAACGAUCACCCAAAUCCAGCAGCAGAAAUUCUCGAAUUUUCCCCAGAAACAUUUUAUAUGUCCAUUUACAGUCACCACCCUCUCUUUUGUCCCGAAGUUAACACCCUCCUGACUUUUACAUGAACACCUCCUUGCAUCAGCAAACGUGUAUGUUUGUAUCUUCCUUGCUUUUGCCAUUUUGUUUCCAAGAUGUGUUACGUUAGCAUAACUGCAGCUCAUGUGUGUUCACUGCUGCCCUCGCCAAUGUCUCCUUUCCCAACACCAGCUAUCCUGGGUCCUUGCUAUUUCCGUAUCACUGCGCAAUUUCAUUUAUGUAAGGAACAAAACAGGCAAAAGCACACAAUUUUAUAUGAACAAGCAAAGCAGAGGGUUUUAUAUGAAGGGCUUCCUAGGCUCACAAAUUACAUAAAAGGUUAAAUGACCUGCUUUUUCAGGAUCCCAAUGUUACUUACUGUUGAAUAAAGAUGCAAAAUACAGAAUAGUACAUAUGGUAUGAUCCUAUUAAACAAAGACACAUUUUUGUACCUGUACAUCUAUGUACACGUAAGUAUUUACCAGUUCAAACAAUUCUAGAAUUCUACACGGUCCAAAUUGUUACCAGUGGUUACCUCCAGUAUGUGGGAAUGAAGCAGAAUGCAGGAGCCUUGGAAAGUCUGUGUGCAUGGGAGAAGCUACGGGCCCUCCUGGCUAUCAGCUGUUUGAUGGCAGUCACCUCCUUCUGAGCUGUCUCUUCUCCGUGCCGAUCACCACCGCCACACCCCUGGGUCAGACGGGUCUCCGAAUGUGGUCUGAGCAUGUGCCAGAAGAGCUGGACCACGGCCUCCUCCGGCGGACCCUCCCCUUUCUCACUUAAUGCAGCCAAAGCCAGAAGAGCACUUUUCAGAAAUUGCAUCAGACUGAGGAAGCCGACUGCCAUUGAAAUGCCUCCGCCAGUGCCAGGCUCCUGUCUUGAUGCCUGUGAUUUGUCUUUGGGCCCCUGGGGCAGGUCACUAAAUUUAUCCCUUUCAGUUCUC
Molecule: long non-coding RNA, 1188 nt
Organism: Suricata suricatta (meerkat)
Lineage: Eukaryota; Metazoa; Chordata; Mammalia; Carnivora; Herpestidae
Exons: 2
Source: RefSeq, a predicted model, not a curated record